This 658-nucleotide ribosomal RNA is filed under the name uncultured archaeon. RNAcentral's name for it is "bacterial SSU rRNA". It matches the Rfam family "Archaeal small subunit ribosomal RNA", at positions 5 to 638 of the family's 1478-position model. The record is from RNAcentral.
CGGUUGAUCCUGCCGGACCCCACUGCUAUCGGGGUAGGACUAAGCCAUGCGAGUCGAGCGUCUCCGAGCCGACGGCGGAGACGCGGCGGACGGCUCCGUAACACGUAGCCAACCUACCUUCGGGACGGGGAUAACCCCGGGAAACUGGGGCUAAUCCCCGAUAGGCAAGGAGGCCUGGAAUGGUCCCUUGCCCAAAGGGCGUUGGAACCGCGCUUCCAACGCCGCCCGAAGAUGGGGCUGCGGCCGAUCAGGUAGUUGGUGGGGUAACGGCCCACCAAGCCUAUAACCGGUACGGGCCGUGAGAGCGGGAGCCCGGAGAUGGGCACUGAGACAAGGGCCCAGGCCCUACGGGGCGCAGCAGGCGCGAAACCUCCGCAAUGCGCGAAAGCGCGACGGGGUUACCCCGAGUGCCGUCCGCUGAGGACGGCUUUUCCCCGGUGUAAUGAGCCGGGGGAAUAAGGGGAGGGCAAGCCUGGUGUCAGCCGCCGCGGUAAUACCAGCUCCCCGAGUGGUGGGGACGAUUAUUGGGCCUAAAGCGUCCGUAGCCGGCCCGGCAAGUCUCCCGUUAAAUCCAACGAUCUAAUCGUUGGGCUGCGGGAGAUACUGUCGGGCUAGGGGGCGGGAGAGGCCGGCGGUGUUCCCGGGGUAGGGGUGAAAU